RNAcentral lists this long non-coding RNA (509 nucleotides) under Gopherus agassizii (Agassiz's desert tortoise). Its description in RNAcentral is "lncRNA (ENSGAGG00000001457.1)". Lineage: Eukaryota; Metazoa; Chordata; Testudines; Testudinidae. The record is from RNAcentral.
AAAGGAUCCUGCCUGGUCUAGUAUGUAGGGAGACAUCUAGUGGUGAGCCUUCGCUGCACAUAACCAGUUUAGUGUGUUCCCCCCCCCGCGCUCCGUGCAGCUUCCAGGAAACGCUGUGGGUGAGGUGUUUCUUUUAAUCUAUAUCCUUCUUACCGGUUUUUCCAUAAGGGUGAGCAUUGUGAUGAGCGAGUAAUUGCAUUAAGCUUUUGUGGAAUCUCUUAGGAAUGUCAUUUGAGCUGCACUCCACCAAAGAACCUCAACUCUGAGAGCUACCUCUAGUGGCCAAAAGAGAAAGUGCAAGUGCAAUCCUUCCUCCUUGCUGCUCUGUAGGUGACAGAGUAACAUCAGGGACGAAUGUGUGACCCUCAGCAGAGCAGAAAAACUCAGACUGCUCCAGAUUACUCUCCAGGUGGAUGAAGUGCUCUUUCUGAUUCUGCAGCCUUAUCAGAUAACUCCAUUGUACCUACACAUACUACUAGAAGAGAAAGAUCUCCUCAGAAGGGGUAUGG